GAUGAACGCUGGCGGCGUGCCUAAUACAUGCAAGUAGAACGCUGAAGGAAGGAGCUUGCUCUUUCCGGAUGAGUUGCGAACGGGUGAGUAACGCGUAGGUAACCUGCCUGGUAGCGGGGGAUAACUAUUGGAAACGAUAGCUAAUACCGCAUAACAGUAGAUGUUGCAUGAUAUCUACUUAAAAGGUGCAAUUGCACCACUACCAGAUGGACCCGCGUUGUAUUAGCUAGUUGGUGAGGUAACGGCUCACCAAGGCGACGAUACAUAGCCGACCUGAGAGGGUGAGCGGCCACACUGGGACGGAGACACGGCCCAGACUCCUACGGGAGGCAGCAGUAGGGAAUCUUCGGCAAUGGACGGAAGUCUGACCGAGCAACGCCGCGUGAGUGAAGAAGGUUUUCGGAUCGUAAAGCUCUGUUGUAAGAGAAGAACGAGUGUGAGAGUGGAAAGUUCACACUGUGACGGUAUCUUACCAGAAAGGGACGGCUAACUACGUG
RNAcentral lists this ribosomal RNA (497 nucleotides) under uncultured bacterium. RNAcentral describes it as "partial 16S ribosomal RNA". It matches the Rfam family "Bacterial small subunit ribosomal RNA", at positions 28 to 507 of the family's 1533-position model. The record is from RNAcentral.